UAGAAGGCCAACCGAGAUGUGGUAUGAAACUUCUGAAUAAGAAACUGUGAUAAGGAGAUACGAUCGUCAAUGCUGAGGGACUCAUCUCCGCUCUUCCAGUACAGCAUCAAGUCUUCAUCUGUAUACAGCGGACCACGGGGGCUGUCACCAUCCUCCAGAGGGUGGUUGGAGUCAAAGAGGAGCCUUAACACCCACUCGCAUCCUGGGCCAUUUGACCUCAGGAAAUCACAUGAUAGGGUUGAAACACGGCAAUCCUCACAAUAGACGAUGGAACAUGCCCACAAUUGCCCGACUACCUCAGCCCCUAUCCUGUCCCCCUUCGAGGUCUC
This is a long non-coding RNA of Oreochromis aureus, 329 nucleotides long. RefSeq lists it as uncharacterized. NCBI's taxonomy places the organism in Eukaryota, Metazoa, Chordata, Actinopteri, Cichliformes, Cichlidae. The transcript has 3 exons. The record is from RefSeq and is a predicted model, not a curated record.